ACACACAUGAUGGCUCAGUCAUAGUACCGUAUACAAGUAGGUACACACACACACACACAUGAUGGCUCAGUCAUAGUCUGCCAUAGCACCGUAUACAAGUAGGUACACACACACACAUGAUGGCUCAGUCAUAGUCUGUCAUAGCACCGUAUACAAGUAGGUACACACACACACACACAUGAUGGCUCAGUCAUAGUCUGUCAUAGCACCGUAUACAAGUAGGUACACACACACACACACACAUAUGAUGGCUCAGUCAUAGUCUGUCAUAGCACCGUAUACAAGUAGGUACACACACACACACACAUGAUGGCUCAGUCAUAGUCUGUCAUAGCACCGUAUACAAGUAGGUACACACACACACACACACAUGAUGUCUCAGUCAUAGUCUGUCAUAGCACCGUAUACAAGUAGGUACACACACACACACACACACACAUGAUGGCUCAGUCAUAGUCUGCCAUAGCACCGUAUACAAGUAGGUACACACACACACACACACAUGAUGGCUCAGUCAUAGUCUGCCAUAGCACCGUAUACAAGUAGGUACACACACACACACACAUGAUGGCUCAGUCAUAGUCUGUCAUAGCACCGUAUACAAGUAGGUACACACACACACACAUGAUGGCUCAGUCAUAGUCUGCCAUAGCACCGUAUACAAGUAGGUACACACACACACAUGAUGGCUCAGUCAUAGUCUGUCAUAGCACCGUACACAAGUAGGUACACACACACACAUGAUGGCUCAGUUAUAGUCUGUCAUAGCACCGUAUACAAGUAGGUACACACACACACACACAUGAUGGCUCAGUCAUAGUCUGCCAUAGCACCGUAUACAUGUAGGUAAACACACACACACACAUGAUGGCUCAGUCAUAGUCUGUCAUAGCACCGUAUACAAGUAGGUACACACACACACACACAUGAUGUCUCAGUCAUGGUCUGUCAUAGCACCGUAUACAAGUAGGUACACACACACACACACACACACACACAUGAUGGCUCAGUCAUAGUCUGCCAUAGCACCGUAUACAAGUAGGUACACACACACACAUGAUGGCUCAGUCAUAGUCUGCCAUAGCACCGUAUACAAGUAGGUACACACACACACACACACAUGAUGGCUCAGUCCUAGUCUGCCAUAGCACCGUAUACAAGUAGGUACACACACACACACACAUGAUGGCUCAGUCAUAGUCUGUCAUAGCACCGUAUACAAGUAGGUACACACACACACACAUGAUGGCUCAGUCAUAGUCUGUCAUAGCACCGUAUACAAGUAGGUACACACACACACACACAUGAUGGCUCAGUCAUAUUCUGCCAUAGCACCGUAUACAAGUAGGUACACACACACACACACAUGAUGGCUCAGUCAUAGUCUGUCAUAGCACCGUAUACAAGUAGGUACACACACACACACACAUGAUGGCUCAGUCAUAGUCUGCCAUAGCACCGUAUACAAGUAGGUACACACACACACACACAUGAUGGCUCAGUCAUAGUCUGUCAUAGCACCGUAUACAAGUAGGUACACACACACACACACAUGAUGGCUCAGUCAUAGUCUGCCAUAGCACCGUAUACAAGUAGGUACACACACACACACACAUGAUGGCUCAGUCAUAGUCUGCCAUAGCACCGUAUACAAGUAGGUACACACACACACACACAUGAUGGCUCAGUCAUAGUCUGUCAUAGCACCGUAUACAAGUAGGCACACACACACACAUGAUGGCUCAGUCAUAGUCUGCCAUAGCACCGUAUACAAGUAGGUACACACACACACACACACAUGAUGGCUCAGUCAUAGUCUGCCAUAGCACCGUAUACAAGUAGGUACACACACACACACACACAUGAUGGCUCAGUCAUAGUCUGCCAUAGCACCGUAUACAAGUAGGUACACACACACACACACACAUGAUGGCUCAGUCAUAGUCUGCCAUAGCACCGUAUACAAGUAGGUACACACACACACACACACACACAUGAUGGCUCAGUCAUAGUCUGCCAUAGCACCGUAUACAAGUAGGUACACACACACACACACAUGAUGGCUCAGUCAUAGUCUGUCAUAGCACCGUAUACAAGUAGGUACACACACACACACACAUGAUGGCUCAGUCAUAGUCUGCCAUAGCACCGUAUACAAGUAGGUACACACACACACACACACAUGAUGGCUCAGUCAUAGUCUGUCAUAGCACCGUAUACAAGUAGGUACACACACACACACACAUGAUGGCUCAGUCAUAUUCUGUCAUAGCACCGUAUACAAGUAGGUACACACACACACACACACACACAUGAUGGCUCAGUCAUAGUCUGCCAUAGCACCGUAUACAAGUAGGUACACACACACACACACACAUGAUGGCUCAGUCAUAGUCUGCCAUAGCACCGUAUACAAGUAGGUACACACACACACACACACACACAUGAUGGCUCAGUCAUAGUCUGCCAUAGCACCGUAUACAAGUAGGUACACACACACACACACAUGAUGGCUCAGUCAUAGUCUGUCAUAGCACCGUAUACAAGUAGGUACACACACACACACACAUGAUGGCUCAGUCAUAGUCUGCCAUAGCACCGUAUACAAGUAGGUACACACACACACAUGAUGGCUCAGUCAUAGUCUGUCAUAGCACCGUAUACAAGUAGGUACACACACACACAUGAUGGCUCAGUCAUAGUCUGUCAUAGCACCGUAUACAAGUAGGUACACACACACACACACAUGAUGGCUCAGUCAUAGUCUGUCAUAGCACCGUAUACAAGUAGGUACACACACACACACACAUGAUGGCUCAGUCAUAGUCUGUCAUAGCACCGUAUACAAGUAGGUACACACACACACACACACACACAUGAUGUCUCAGUCAUAGUCUGUCAUAGCACCGUAUACAAGUAGGUACACACACACACACACACAUGAUGGCUCAGUCAUAGUCUGCCAUAGCACCGUAUACAAGUAGGUACACACACACACACACACAUGAUGGCUCAGUCAUAGUCUGCCAUAGCACCGUAUACAAGUAGGUACACACACACACACAUGAUGGCUCAGUCAUAGUCUGUCAUAGCACCGUAUACAAGUAGGUACACACACACACACACAUGAUGGCUCAGUCAUAGUCUGCCAUAGCACCGUAUACAAGUAGGUACACACACACACAUGAUGGCUCAGUCAUAGUCUGUCAUAGCACCGUACACAAGUAGGUACACACACACACACACAUGAUGGCUCAGUUAUAGUCUGUCAUAGCACCGUAUACAAGUAGGUACACACACACACACACACAUGAUGGCUCAGUCAUAGUCUGCCAUAGCACCGUAUACAUGUAGGUACACACACACACACACAUGAUGGCUCAGUCAUAGUCUGUCAUAGCACCGUAUACAAGUAGGUACACACACACACACACACAUGAUGUCUCAGUCAUAGUCUGUCAUAGCACCGUAUACAAGUAGGUACACACACACACACACACACAUGAUGGCUCAGUCAUAGUCUGCCAUAGCACCGUAUACAAGUAGGUACACACACACACAUGAUGGCUCAGUCAUAGUCUGCCAUAGCACCGUAUACAAGUAGGUACACACACACACACACACAUGAUGGCUCAGUCAUAGUCUGCCAUAGCACCGUAUACAAGUAGGUACACACACACACACACAUGAUGGCUCAGUCAUAGUCUGUCAUAGCACCGUAUACAAGUAGGUACACACACACACACACACACAUGAUGGCUCAGUCAUAGUCUGCCAUAGCACCGUAUACAAGUAGGUACACACACACACAUGAUGGCUCAGUCAUAGUCUGCCAUAGCACCGUAUACAAGUAGGUACACACACACACACACACAUGAUGGCUCAGUCAUAGUCUGCCAUAGCACCGUAUACAAGUAGGUACACACACACACACACAUGAUGGCUCAGUCAUAGUCUGUCAUAGCACCGUAUACAAGUAGGUACACACACACACACACAUGAUGGCUCAGUCAUAGUCUGCCAUAGCACCGUAUACAAGUAGGUACACACACACACAUGAUGGCUCAGUCAUAGUCUGUCAUAGCACCGUAUACAAGUAGGUACACACACACACACACACAUGAUGGCUCAGUCAUAGUCUGUCAUAGCACCGUAUACAAGUAGGUACACACACACACACAUGAUGGCUCAGUCAUAGUCUGUCAUAGCACCGUAUACAAGUAGGUACACACACACACACACACAUGAUGGCUCAGUCAUAGUCUGUCAUAGCACCGUAUACAAGUAGGUACACACACACACACACACAUGAUGUCUCAGUCAUAGUCUGUCAUAGCACCGUAUACAAGUAGGUACACACACACACACACACACAUGAUGGCUCAGUCAUAGUCUGCCAUAGCACCGUAUACAAGUAGGUACACACACACACACACACAUGAUGGCUCAGUCAUAGUCUGCCAUAGCACCGUAUACAAGUAGGUACACACACACACACACAUGAUGGCUCAGUCAUAGUCUGUCAUAGCACCGUAUACAAGUAGGUACACACACACACACACAUGAUGGCUCAGUCAUAGUCUGCCAUAGCACCGUAUACAAGUAGGUACACACACACACAUGAUGGCUCAGUCAUAGUCUGUCAUAGCACCGUAUACAAGUAGGUGUACACACACACACACAUGAUGGCUCAGUCAUAGUCUGUCAUAGCACCGUAUACAAGUAGGUACACACACACACACACAUGAUGGCUCAGUCAUAGUCUGCCAUAGCACCGUAUACAAGUAGGUACACACACACACACACAUGAUGGCUCAGUCAUAGUCUGUCAUAGCACCGUAUACAAGUAGGUACACACACACACACACACAUGAUGUCUCAGUCAUAGUCUGUCAUAGCACCGUAUACAAGUAGGUACACACACACACACACACACAUGAUGGCUCAGUCAUAGUCUGCCAUAGCACCGUAUACAAGUAGGUACACACACACACACACAUGAUGGCUCAGUCAUAGUCUGUCAUAGCACCGUAUACAAGUAGGUACACACACACACACACAUGAUGGCUCAGUCAUAGUCUGCCAUAGCACCGUAUACAAGUAGGUACACACACACACAUGAUGGCUCAGUCAUAGUCUGUCAUAGCACCGUAUACAAGUAGGUACACACACACACACACACAUGAUGUCUCAGUCAUAGUCUGUCAUAGCACCGUAUACAAGUAGGUACACACACACACACACACACAUGAUGGCUCAGUCAUAGUCUGCCAUAGCACCGUAUACAAGUAGGUACACACACACACACACACAUGAUGGCUCAGUCAUAGUCUGCCAUAGCACCGUAUACAAGUAGGUACACACACACACACACACACACAUGAUGGCUCAGUCAUAGUCUGCCAUAGCACCGUAUACAAGUAGGUACACACACACACACACAUGAUGGCUCAGUCAUAGUCUGUCAUAGCACCGUAUACAAGUAGGUACACACACACACACACAUGAUGGCUCAGUCAUAGUCUGCCAUAGCACCGUAUACAAGUAGGUACACACACACACAUGAUGGCUCAGUCAUAGUCUGUCAUAGCACCGUAUACAAGUAGGUACACACACACACACACAUGAUGGCUCAGUCAUAGUCUGUCAUAGCACCGUAUACAAGUAGGUACACACACACACACACAUGAUGGCUCAGUCAUAGUCUGUCAUAGCACCGUAUACAAGUAGGUACACACACACACACACACACAUGAUGUCUCAGUCAUAGUCUGUCAUAGCACCGUAUACAAGUAGGUACACACACACACACACACACAUGAUGGCUCAGUCAUAGUCUGCCAUAGCACCGUAUACAAGUAGGUACACACACACACACACAUGAUGGCUGAGUCAUAGUCUGCCAUAGCACCGUAUACAAGUAGGUACACACACACACACACACAUGAUGGCUCAGUCAUAGUCUGUCAUAGCACCGUAUACAAGUAGGUACACACACACACACACAUGAUGGCUCAGUCAUAGUCUGUCAUAGCACCGUAUACAAGUAGGUACACACACACACACACAUGAUGGCUCAGUCAUAGUCUGCCAUAGCACCGUAUACAAGUAGGUACACACACACACACACAUGAUGGCUCAGUCAUAGUCUGUCAUAGCACCGUAUACAAGUAGGUACACACACACACACACACACAUGAUGGCUCAGUCAUAGUCUGCCAUAGCACCGUAUACAAGUAGGUACACACACACACAUGAUGGCUCAGUCAUAGUCUGCCAUAGCACCGUAUACAAGUAGGUACACACACACACACACACAUGAUGGCUCAGUCAUAGUCUGCCAUAGCACCGUAUACAAGUAGGUACACACACACACACACAUGAUGGCUCAGUCAUAGUCUGUCAUAGCACCGUAUACAAGUAGGUACACACACACACACAUGAUGGCUCAGUCAUAGUCUGCCAUAGCACCGUAUACAAGUAGGUACACACACACACAUGAUGGCUCAGUCAUAGUCUGUCAUAGCACCGUAUACAAGUAGGUACACACACACACACACAUGAUGGCUCAGUCAUAGUCUGUCAUAGCACCGUAUACAAGUAGGUACACACACACACAUGAUGGCUCAGUCAUAGUCUGUCAUAGCACCGUAUACAAGUAGGUACACACACACACACAUGAUGGCUCAGUCAUAGUCUGUCAUAGCACCGUAUACAAGUAGGUACACACACACACACACACACAUGAUG
Molecule: long non-coding RNA, 6750 nt
Organism: Nerophis ophidion (straightnose pipefish)
Lineage: Eukaryota; Metazoa; Chordata; Actinopteri; Syngnathiformes; Syngnathidae
Exons: 2
Source: RefSeq, a predicted model, not a curated record